This 486-nucleotide ribosomal RNA is filed under the name uncultured bacterium. RNAcentral's name for it is "partial 16S ribosomal RNA". It matches the Rfam family "Bacterial small subunit ribosomal RNA", at positions 29 to 507 of the family's 1533-position model. The record is from RNAcentral.
AUUGAACGCUGGCGGCAUGCUUUACACAUGCAAGUCGAGCGGCAGCGCGGGGGCAACCCUGGCGGCGAGCGGCGAAUGGGUGAGUAAUGCAUCGGAACGUAUCCUCGAGUGGGGGAUAACCCAGCGAAAGUUGGGCUAAUACCGCAUGAGCUCUGAGGAGGAAAGCGGGGGACCUGCGAGGGCCUCGCGCUGGAGGAGCGGCCGAUGUCCGAUUAGCUAGUUGGUGGGGUAAAGGCUUACCAAGGCGACGAUCGGUAGCUGGUCUGAGAGGAUGAUCAGCCACACUGGGACUGAGACACGGCCCAGACUCCUACGGGAGGCAGCAGUGGGGAAUUUUGGACAAUGGGGGCAACCCUGAUCCAGCCAUGCCGCGUGAGUGAAGAAGGCCUUCGGGUUGUAAAGCUCUUUCGGACGGAACGAAAUGGGCGGGACUAAUACUCCGGUCUGAUGACGGUACCGUAAGAAGAAGCACCGGCUAACUACGUG